UUCCCAUUCCCAUUCAGAUGUGUCAUGAUAUCCCACUGUUGUGAUGAGGACCAACACCUGAUAUUCCAUUUGGCUAGCCUCGAAUUUGAUGGCAUGAGCAUCGAUUUCUCAAACGGCCCCCUCCCCUUCACCAGUUCCCACCCCUUUUCCCUCUCUCACCUUAUCUCCUGGCCUGUCCUUGACCUCUCUCUGCUGCUGCUCCCCCCUUUUGUUUCUUCCACGGCCUUCCGUCUUUUUUGCCAAUUUACUUCCCAGCUCUUUAUUUCAUCCCCUCCCCCUUCAGAUUUCACCUAUCGCCUGGGUGUUUCUCUCUCCUCCCCUCUACCUUUCAAAUCUUCUCCUCAGCUUUUUCUCUCCAGUCCUGCCGAACGGUUGCUGUCCGAAAAAACAUAAAUUGUGCUCUUUUCCAUAGGUGCUGCCUGGCCUGCUGAGUUCCUCCAGCAUUUUGUGCAUGUGACUGAGGAGAUGCUGCCUGACCCGCAGAGUUCCUCCGGCACCUUUCAUGUGUUGUUUCAGAUUUGGACACCAUGUGGUUAACGCGACACUUUACAGAACCGGUGACCCGGCAUCAAUUCCCACUGCUUUCUGUGAGGAGUUUGUACGUUCCUUCUGUGAUUGCAUGGGCUUCCUCUCACAGUCCAAAGAUGUACCAGUUGGAUAACUCUGAGAAGCUCAUAAAAGGUCCCUUGCAGUUCUUCAGAGACAAGAGUGGGAGAGUUGUCACUGAGGUGCUGGCCAGUGUUGACACUGAUAGUUUAGUCGUUAUCAUGAAGAGUUUGCUGCGUGCAAAUUUGUUUCCUCAUUUCCAAUUGCUGGAAGGACUCUGUUGGCUGUGAAGCACUAGUACAAGUCCUUUAUAUCUGAAACAAUUACAUAUUUCAUGAUCUGACUCUACGCAUUCAUUGUAACCCUU
Long non-coding RNA from Hypanus sabinus (Atlantic stingray), 913 nucleotides. RefSeq lists it as uncharacterized. NCBI's taxonomy places the organism in Eukaryota, Metazoa, Chordata, Chondrichthyes, Myliobatiformes, Dasyatidae. The record is from RefSeq and is a predicted model, not a curated record. The transcript is spliced from 3 exons.